GCCUUCGUGGUGUAGUGGUUCUGCACGCUGGACCGUUAUUCCAGAGGUCCGUAGUUCGAUUCCUGGCGAAGACG
RNAcentral lists this transfer RNA (74 nucleotides) under Stegodyphus dumicola. RNAcentral describes it as "tRNA-Asn". It matches the Rfam family "tRNA". From Rfam's summary of the family: Transfer RNA (tRNA) molecules are approximately 80 nucleotides in length. Their secondary structure includes four short double-helical elements and three loops (D, anti-codon, and T loops). Lineage: Eukaryota; Metazoa; Arthropoda; Arachnida; Araneae; Eresidae. The record is from RNAcentral.